AUUGAACGCUGGCGGCAGGCCUAACACAUGCAAGUCGAACGGUAACAGGAAGAAGCUUGCUUCUUUGCUGACGAGUGGCGGACGGGUGAGUAAUGUCUGGGAAACUGCCUGAUGGAGGGGGAUAACUACUGGAAACGGUAGCUAAUACCGCAUAACGUCGCAAGACCAAAGAGGGGGACCUUCGGGCCUCUUGCCAUCGGAUGUGCCCAGAUGGGAUUAGCUAGUAGGUGGGGUAACGGCUCACCUAGGCCAAGAUCCCUAGCUGGUCUGAGAGGAUGACCAGCCACACUGGAACUGAGACACGGUCCAGACUCCUACGGGAGACAGAAGUGGGGAAUAUUGCACAAUGGGCGCAAGCCUGAUGCAGCCAUGCCGCGUGUAUGAAGAAGGCCUUCGGGUUGUAAAGUACUUUCAGCGGGGAGGAAGGGAGUAAAGUUAAUACCUUGGCUCAUUGACGUUACCCGCAGGAGAAGCACCGGCUAACUCCGUG
This 490-nucleotide ribosomal RNA is filed under the name uncultured bacterium. RNAcentral describes it as "partial 16S ribosomal RNA". It matches the Rfam family "Bacterial small subunit ribosomal RNA", at positions 30 to 507 of the family's 1533-position model. The record is from RNAcentral.